RNAcentral lists this non-coding RNA (54 nucleotides) under Trypanosoma lewisi. The record is from RNAcentral. Lineage: Eukaryota; Euglenozoa; Kinetoplastea; Trypanosomatida; Trypanosomatidae.
GAUAUAUACAAAAACAAACGGCGUAGAAUGAGAUGUGAGCGGAUAUAUAAGAAC